GACGAACGCUGGCGGCGUGCUUAACACAUGCAAGUCGAACGAAGUGGCGAACGGGUGAGUAACGCGUAAUCAACCUGCCCUUCAGAGGGGGACAACAGUUGGAAAAGACUGCUAAUACCGCAUACUGAAGGAGGGGAUUGCGUCUGAUUAGGUAGCUGGAGGGGUAACGGCCCACCAAGGCGAUGAUCAGUAGCCGGGCUGAGAGGAUGAACGGCCACAGUGGGACUGGGAAACGGGCCAGACUCCUACGGGAGGGAGCAGUGGGGAAGCUUCCGAAAUGGACGAAAGUCUGACGGAGCAACGGCGCGGGAGUGAUGACGGCCUUCGGGUUUUAAAGCUCUGUUAAUCGGGACGCGGUACCGGAAUAGAAAGCCACGGCUAACUACGUGCCAGCAGCCGCGGUAAUAC
Molecule: ribosomal RNA, 408 nt
Filed under: uncultured bacterium
Lineage: Bacteria
Description: partial 16S ribosomal RNA
Rfam family: Bacterial small subunit ribosomal RNA
Source: RNAcentral